ACGCCGACACCUACUGGAGGCAGCAGUAGGGAAUCUUCCACAAUGGACGCAAGUCUGAUGGAGCAACGCCGCGUGAGUGAAGAAGGUUUUCGGAUCGUAAAGCUCUGUUGUUGGUGAAGAAGGAUAGAGGUAGUAACUGGCCUUUAUUUGACGGUAAUCAACCAGAAAGUCACGGCUAACUACGUGCCUGCAGCCGCGGUAAUCUGAGCGGGCUGGCAAGGC
This 222-nucleotide ribosomal RNA is filed under the name uncultured bacterium. RNAcentral's name for it is "partial 16S ribosomal RNA". It matches the Rfam family "Bacterial small subunit ribosomal RNA", at positions 329 to 539 of the family's 1533-position model. The record is from RNAcentral.